Molecule: long non-coding RNA, 548 nt
Filed under: Chinchilla lanigera (long-tailed chinchilla)
Lineage: Eukaryota; Metazoa; Chordata; Mammalia; Rodentia; Chinchillidae
Description: lncRNA (ENSCLAG00000024400.1)
Source: RNAcentral
UUUGCUUCAGUGCUGGAACAGCCUGUAGAGAGAAAAGAGAAGGAAAGUAAAGGGGAAAGUCACGGUGCUGGCCAGCUUCAGAAGCACCCUGGAUGUACAGAACAGUGGCUGCUACAUGCAGUUUCAGAUCAAUCUGCUAUCCUCAUUGUGCCUGAGACCCAAAUAAUUCCUGGGUUAACUCUGGAGACUUUGAAGGGUGUUUCAUGGAAUCUCCCAAUGCAGUUCAUGCAUAGCGUGGUAGAAAUAUUAGAGAGCCACAUGAAGGAAGAUGAUGAAUUCAUCCCCUGUUCGUGCACUGGAAACUCACUGUGCGAAAUCCUGUCAUCUGAAGUGGGCCUCCCUGCUGUCAUUAAACUGUGUCUCUUUAAAUCUACUGAGGGUGAUAUUCCUUCUGGCCCACAGGAUGCCAAAAUGACUUGAUGAUUUAUUUAUGCAGUGCUUGGCAGGCCAUAGUCCAGAUUGUGGCUGAAGCUGAAUUUUAUGAGCCUUUCCCUAGUGAGUAUGUUUUAAAAUUAUAUUAAAAAAUAUAUUUUUGGAAAUCCUCAGUC